Molecule: long non-coding RNA, 499 nt
Filed under: Parus major (Great Tit)
Lineage: Eukaryota; Metazoa; Chordata; Aves; Passeriformes; Paridae
Description: lncRNA (ENSPMJG00000016286.1)
Source: RNAcentral
AAAAAACAAAAAAAAAAAAAGAAAAAAUUUUAAAAAAAGAUUUAUUUAUACUACUGAGAAGUCUUUGUUAGCCCUGCUUUGCACCCCCCAGCUGCGACAAAGGCAGUUAGGGUGAUGCAAUCUUAGUGCCAGUUCUUUCCAGGAGGCUUGUUCUACAGCUUCCCGGUACAUGUGUUAAAGAUCACACAUGACCCAGGUGCUUGCCUAACAUAAACCUCUCCUCCUGUACGGAGAAAACUCUCUCAACUGUUUGUGGCAACAGGACAUCAUUCAUAUCACUUCUGGAAACACCACACUCAAAAUGACUCCAGGAAAGUCGGCAGCUUUCACAGGGGCCCAAGAACCUCAAGGCUCUCUUAAAUAGGUAAGGACCAUCACAAACAUCAUGCUAUAAAGGGGAAGUACUCUUUUCACAAAGAGUUUUAAAGAGAAACCACAAGAAAAUUGCCUUUUUUCAACCAGAACAAAGCUACAUCUUUGUUGCUUCUGUAAAUCAGAC